AUCGAAUAACAUAAAGAAAUGUAUAGAGUUGCUGCCUGGAACAAUAUACUGAAAUACAAAAAUACUGUCAUUAAAUCUCAAAACCCGGAAUCCCACGGUCUACACAGGCUAUAGAAGAACAUACAAUGCUCUAAUCACCAGAAUAGUCUAAUACAAAGAAGAACGGAAUAGAAACUAGGUACUAUAGAUAGAAUGAGAGGGAGACUCUUCGGAUCUGCGGACACGGCCGAUGUAUACCUCAAGUCUCCGAGUAUAGCUCCUGGAUCACCGAUAGAGUGCCCGGCCAAAUGUACCUAGAUCUGCACAUGAAAAACAUGUGCAUAAGAGGCAUGAGUACACCAUAGUAGUACUUAGUAAGUGUCAAGCCUAACCUCGGUUGAGUAGUGAAGAGGAAGGUCAAGGCCCUAUUAAGAUAAAAUAUAAUAAAACUGACAAUAGUAUGAGAUAAACAUAAUAAUGAUAUACAACAAUGAAAUAAAACAGUUUACACAACAACAAUUAACCCGCAGAAAAAUAAGAUAAUACGGAGUAAAUUGCUCAAUAUCAGCACCAAUAAUAAGGAUCUUCCAGGAUAUAGUCAUGUAGUCCAUUAUGUCAAUCUGUACGAGGAGCUCCCGGGAUACCGUCCGUAGUCCACCGUAUAAAUGUAUCAGAAGGAUCUCUCGGGAAUCUAACAUGUAGUCCACAGUAUGAAUAUAUCGAAAAUAUCUCAUGGGAAUCUAACCCGUAGUCCACCGUAUGAAUAUAUCGGAAGGAUAUCACAGGAAUCUAACCCAUAGUCCAUCGUAUGAAUGUAUCUAAAGGAUAUCGCGGGAAUCUAACCCAUAGUCCAUCGUAUGAAUGUAUCUGAAGGAUCUACCGGAAAUAUAACCCGUAGUCCAUCAUAUAUCAAUACUCAGUACAGGGGGAAUCUACCGGCUGCAUUGCCGUAGUUCCAUAUAACCGUGUAGGGGGAGCUACCGGAAUCCCACAUCAGUCAUCCCAAUGUAAAUGCGCAACCAAAUCAGAGAAAAUAUUCAGAAAAUAAAGUACAACAAUACAAGUAACAAUUAAUUCUAGCCUAACAUGCUUCACGUAAUUUCAAUUAAGGAAAUUAAGCAAUUAAUUCUAUCUAAUCAUGCUUCUCUAACUAACACAGAUUAAUCUUGCAUUGAAAUCAGUCAAAUGAACAAAAAAACACAGUUUAAACAAUUCAAGUAAAGUAAAUUUUUUCAACAAUCGGCACAAGCACAUGCUCAUCACAGAAAAGCACCUGUAAGUUAAAGAGAUGAGGAAGAUCGAAGAUAUCCGAGAAGUUCUGUAAAUUGUGAUAUACAGAAAUCGAAUAAAACCCACCUUUGGAAUAAGGUAAAUGCUACACGUAGUAGUUGGGUAGAUAUAGAAAAGCCACAUAUACAGAUAAGUCCAAAAUUCUAAUAUGCCCUCAAACAAAGCUUAAAAUACACAUACGCAAGCAUGUCGAAACUCAUGCUCUCCUAUUCAAGAAAAGAAAUGCUAAAAAAGAACUUUGAUCUGCAACACCUUCACAGCUUUUCAACUUUAAAGUUCUCAUCUUUUUGUAAUUUCUCCAUAAAAAUCCCGCUAAAUAUCUAAGAAAAGAAAUGCUAAAAAAGAACUUUGAUCACUAAUACUUUCACAGCUUUUCAACUUUAAAGUUCUCACCUUUUUUGUAGUUUCUCCAUAAAAACUAUAACACCCUUAUCUCUUGCUUUAAUUCCAGACAACAAAAGACUUUCCAAAUUCAACUCAGAAUCACAAGAAUCAGAGGUACUUGGGAUUAGGACAAGAUGAAGAGAUUGAAAACAGUAAAUGAUCGGAGGAAUCUACGGUGGCUGAGAUUGUAACAAAGACAAUAAACGGAGAGAGCGAAGAAAGAAAUGGAGGCGGACGACGGCGACAGAAUAUUUCUUGAAGAAGUUUAUCACAGAGAAUUGUAUUCAUUCUUGUACUUUGCAGACACAAAAAAUCAACUGAUAUCUAUAGUUUGGCAAACUAAAUUUAUUUUCUUGAUUUUAAUUCAUCUCUGAAAAAAGUUCCAAUUUCAUCCAUCAAAAUUCUAACUCGAAAAUAUGUAAUUAAUUCACUCAUCUUUUACGAAUUUGAAACAAAAAAGAAGGAGAAAGAGAUAGAAAAUAAUAAAAUUGUUAUUAAGGAGUAAAAAAAGCACCUGUAAGUUAGAAGAGAUAAGGAAGACCGAAGAUAUCUAAGAAGCUCUGUAAAUUAUGGUGUACAAAAAUUGAAUAAAAA
RNAcentral lists this long non-coding RNA (2247 nucleotides) under Nicotiana benthamiana. RNAcentral's name for it is "long non-coding RNA (NBEN_LNC033643)". The record is from RNAcentral. Lineage: Eukaryota; Viridiplantae; Streptophyta; Magnoliopsida; Solanales; Solanaceae.